Molecule: ribosomal RNA, 253 nt
Filed under: uncultured bacterium
Lineage: Bacteria
Description: partial 16S ribosomal RNA
Rfam family: Bacterial small subunit ribosomal RNA
Source: RNAcentral
UACGUAGGGGGCUAGCGUUGUCCGGAAUCAUUGGGCGUAAAGAGCGUGUAGGCGGCCCGGUAAGUCCGCUGUGAAAGUCGGGGGCUCAACCCUCGAAUGCCGGUGGAUACUGUCGGGCUAGAGUGCGGAAGAGGCGAGUGGAAUUCCUGGUGUAGCGGUGAAAUGCGCAGAUAUUAGGAGGAACACCGGUGGCGAAGGCGCCACUCUGGGCCGAAACUGACGCUGAGGAGCGAAAGCGUGGGUAGCAAACAGG